GCGGGUAAGUUGUCGUAGGGGCCCGGUCCGUGAGGGACUGCUAAGGAAGAGGCUGCAUGGCGCGGUAGUCCCCCGAGUGGAGGUCGGCUGCCCCUGGGAAACCAGAGAGUCGGAGGGAGUCCAUCUGGAGCGGCCAAGUAGGUCGGGGAAGGGCCGCGCCUGACGUCUGGCCGCAGGUAGCCACGUUCCCUCCGCCCCCGGUGCAGCUUCAGGGCUUGCACCCUGCGUCCCUCUGUGGUCCUUCGAGAGGGUCUGGGCGGGGACUAUGGGUGGGCGCGCCCAGGAAUUGUCCCUUCGGCCUCUCGUCCUGCCCCUCCCCCCCACCAUCCAGUCUCUCCUUGGAAUAUACUCUUAAAAUCUUUCGGAUGGAGUUCUUUGGAGAAAUGGGUUUCCUGGAGUGUCAGGUGAUCAUUGAUGUUGAUUGUUUCUGAAAUGUUUAUUUAGGCAUCAAACCAACAUGCCUAAAUAAGUUUUUCAUUUCUACAGCGCCUAGAUUCAUUCCUAGCACAUAGUAGGCCCUAACUCAGAUGUGAAUGUAGGAUUCGUAGGAGCUGAGCAUUUGUGCUUCAGGCAUCAAGUUGUCUUUGACUCUUCGACUCUUCCUUGGUCUUUUUCCAUUCUCCACACCUCCAGCAGCAAACCUUUCGCCUCUCCUCAAGGCCUUUCCCCCCCAUCUCCCUCAGCGCCUCUUUGACUGGAGGGGGACAGAGGCUUUCAUGGCAGGGAUUCUCCCAUCUCCCUUCCUAUCCCCGCUAUGCCCUCCAAUUAUCUUUUCCUGGCGUUCCGUUUUACAAGAGAUGGCCUUCUUUCCAAAAACAUUUAUAUUGUAUUGAAUAUUCUUGAUUUUGGCCAUCUUGCUUUACAGACAGACCUGGGGUCUAAUUUCAGCUCUGCCACUUACCAGGUGGUUGCCUUGUGCAAAUUUCUUGAUCGUCUGUGUUUUCCUCAUCUGUAAAAUGGGGAAAAGAAUAAUAUGGACCUCAUAGAACUCUGGGGAGGAUUUAAACUAAGUGAAUAAUGUAUUUAGAUCAUUUAGGUUAGUGCCUGGAACAUAGUAAAUGUGCCGUAUAUGAUAGCUUUUGUUAGUAUUUGCCCCUUACCUCUUCUUCUGGGGUCUUGCUGUAUUAGCCUUUCCCAUGAGUGUAAAAAUACACUGUCUUCUCUGGCUUUUUCCUGUUUUUCUCUACAAAUGCUUGUGUUUUUCUCUAAAUUUUAUUUUUUGUCUUUUAGCGUCUACAUUAAGGACACAUUCUCAGUUUCGUAAUGAUUUUUCUUUUUCUUUUUUCCUUUUUUUUUGAGACUAUAGCCCAGGCUGGAGUGCAAUGGCAAGAUCUCGGCUUACUACAGGUUUGACCUCCUGUGCUCAAGCAAUCCUCCCACCUCAGCCUUCCAAGUAGCUGGAACUACAGGUGGUGACUCUCAAAAGGAAAUAGGAUCAUGGCAGCAGAUGAUGACAAUGGUGAUGGAACAAGUUUAUUUGAUGUCUUUUCUGCUUCUCCUCUUAAGAACAAUGAUGAAGGCUCACUGGACAUAUACGCUGGGUUGGACAGUGCUGUUUCUGACAGCGCUUCCAAAUCCUGUGUACCAUCAAGAAAUUGUUUGGACUUAUAUGAAGAGAUCCUGACUGAAGAAGGAACUGCAAAGGAGGCAACAUAUAAUGAUUUGCAAGUAGAAUAUGGAAAAUGUCAACUACAAAUGAAAGAGCUGAUGAAAAAAUUUAAAGAAAUACAGACACAGAAUUUCAGCUUAAUAAACGAAAACCAGUCUCUUAAGAAGAAUAUUUCAGCACUUAUCAAAACUGCCAGAGUGGAAAUAAACCGCAAGGAUGAAGAAAUAAGUAAUCUUCACCAAAGGUAUUACUGAGCGGUGUAGCUGUUAUAAAUUACGUGGGUAUUGAUAUGUGGAAUAUUUUUAACUUUUAGAGGAAAGAUGAAAAUAAUGUAUUUUUAUUUUUUAUUUUUUAAUUUUUUUUUUUUUUUAGAGACAGGGUCUCAUUUUGUCACUCAGGCUGGUCUUGAACUCCUGACCUCAGGUGAGCCACCCACCUUGGCCUCCCAAAGUGCUGGGAUUUCAGGCGUGAGCCACUGUGCCCAGACUUUUUUUUUUUUUUGGCAGAGUCUUGCUCUGUUGCCCAGGCUGGAGUGCAGUGGUGUGAUCUCAGCUCAUUGCAACCUUUGCCUGCUGGGUUCAAGCGAUCCUCCCACCUCAGUCUCCCGAGUAGCUGGGAUUACAGGCAUGCACCACCUGUAAAAAAAAAUUUAAAAAAAAAAAAAGAUUUUUUUGUAUUUUUAGUAGACGGGGUUUCACCAUUUUGGCCAGGCUGGUCUCAAACUCCUGAUCUCAAGUGAUCUGCCCGCCUGGCCCUCCAAAGUACUGGGAUUACAGGUAUGAGCCACUGCACCCAGCUUCAAGGGUGUUCCUUUUGUGGUUAGUGCUUUUCGUGUUUACAUUUCCCCAAUGAUCUCAAAGGUAUCUACCAACAGUUGGUCGGUUGAGUCAGUAUCUAUAUUAGUUUCCUAGGCUUAGUGUAACAAAACUACCAGAAAUGGGUGGCCUAAACAACCAAAAUUUGUCUCACAGUCCUGGAGGCUAGAAGUCCAAAAUGAAAGUGUCAGCAAAGUUAGUUUCUUUUGAGAGCUCUGAAGGAAGGAUCUGAUUCAGGCCUCUGUACUCUUAGAUGGUUGUCUACUUCCUAUGUCUCUUUAUAUCCUCUUUCUAAAUGUAUCUCUGUGUCCAAAUUUCCCCCUUUUUAUAAGAACACCAGUAAUAUUGCAUGCCCACCUUGAGGACAUCACUUUAACUUGAUUAUUUCUGUAAAGACCCUUUAAAUAAGGUCAUAUUCUGAAGAACAAUGGGUUAGAACUUCAAAUUAUGAAUUUGGUCAGGAGAGGGGACACAAUCCAUAACAGGGUUCAUAUGAGGCUUACAUAUUGUUUUAGGUUGUGUGUUUUUCUAAUCCUCUCUUAUAACAAUCUGCCUAUAUUUCUGAGUUUUUUAAGUUUUGGGUUUUUCUACACAUUUGCUACUGAUUAGAAAAAGAUAUAUGAAAUUUCAGAGAAAUUAUGGAAUUUCUGGAAGAUGAAGUUAUUACCAGAAGCCAAUAUAGGCCAGGCACAGUGGCUCACGCCUGUAACCCCAGUACUUUGGGAGGCGAAGGCAGGAGAAUUGCUUGAGUCCAGGAGUUUGAGACCAGCCUGCGCAGCAUAGUGAGAUCCCAUCUCUACGAAAAAUUAAAAAUUAGCUGGGCAUGGUGGCUUGUACCUGUAGUCCCAGCUACUUGGAAGGUUGAAGUGAGAGGAUUGCUUGAGCCUAGGACAUCAAGGCUGCAGUGAGCCAUGAUCAUUCCGCUGUACUCAGCCUGGGUGAAAGAGGGAGACCCUGUCUC
This 3385-nucleotide long non-coding RNA is filed under the name Homo sapiens (human). RNAcentral's name for it is "long non-coding RNA NONHSAT113966.2". Lineage: Eukaryota; Metazoa; Chordata; Mammalia; Primates; Hominidae. The record is from RNAcentral.